This 256-nucleotide unclassified non-coding RNA is filed under the name Hevea brasiliensis (rubber tree). The record is from RNAcentral. Lineage: Eukaryota; Viridiplantae; Streptophyta; Magnoliopsida; Malpighiales; Euphorbiaceae.
AUCUGAAACAAUAAAGAAAAUAGGAACCUCAUGAAAUCCUCCUCCAAGAUUCAUAUUUUUAAUUAACAAAGUUCAAUAGCCAUCUUCACCUUGUUAUGAAACCAAAUCUCACAAAAAAAACAUGAAUCUCGCAUCUCAAAAGUCUCUUCAUAAAGUUGCUAGCAUUUAUGAUGCGAUCUCCAGAGACCACACCAAUGCAUAAGGUAAACGCGAUGUGCCAUUCAUAAUUAAUAAACCAUAAGUAACUGAAGAUAUG